Long non-coding RNA from Mercenaria mercenaria, 2038 nucleotides. RefSeq lists it as uncharacterized. The record is from RefSeq and is a predicted model, not a curated record. The transcript is spliced from 4 exons. Lineage: Eukaryota; Metazoa; Mollusca; Bivalvia; Venerida; Veneridae.
AGAGAACAGGUUUGUACUGGUACGGAAUCCAGUUAGGUUAAUUGCCCGCCAUCACAACUGAAAAACUGUUGAAGAACUGCGUUAAACUAAAAACAAACACACAAACACAUACAUAAUUUUAGAAGAUUUUGCUGACAUGGAGCUGGUGGACAUAGCUCAGAGUUGUGAGCCUGCUCUCAAGGCAUAUAAUAGUGAUUUGGUGGUUGAAUCCAUACAAUUAGAGUGGAUCAGAUUUAAGAGGGAAAUUUAGAGGAUGAAAAUGACAGAAAAUGACAGGAGGUCUUUGCUAAGUUCUAGCUCUCUGAGUGAUCUGAUGUUAAUCCACACAGAGACUAUCUGAGUCUGUUGAGAAGUUUGAUCCAUUGGAUUCAAUAUUAUUAUGGAAUUCCUGUGGUAGUAGGGCUAGGAGACCAUUCUACAAUGAUAAAAAAAGUAAAGCCAGCCAAAUUCACCAAUUGCUGUCUCAGUAUAGACACAGAUGAUGUGCGGAAGAACUUGACAUGGCUAGGGAAGGUGUAUGUGAUAAUGAUGGUGACAAUGAUGACAAUGCCGCUGAUGAUGAGACUAAUGCACAGACAAGACCUCAUUGCUGUCAAAACAGAGCUUAUAGACUUAUGAUGGACCUUGUUGAGUAAUGAUUACUAAAAAUAUGUAGUAACACUUGAGUUGAAUAAUAUGACUGAAGUUUAUUUAAAUUGCUCAACAGGCAGAAGGACCACCGGAAAUCGUGUUGGACCAGCGGUUUGCAAAAGUUGCUGGUCCUUUAGGCCACCACAUAAAAAAAAGUUAGUGUCUAGCCCUCAACGUGUCUAUGACUGAGCUUAACCGGCUAAACAGACAAGACCUCAUUGCUGUCAAAACAGAGCUUAUAGACUUAUGAUGGACCUUGUUGAAUAAUAAUAACUGAAAAUAUGUAAUAAUAAUUGAGUUAAGUUGAAUAAUAUGACUGAAGUUUACUUAAAUUGCUCAACCGGCAGUAGAACCACCUGAAAUCUUGUUGGACCAGCAGUUUGCAAAAGUUGCUGGUCCUUUGGGACGUCUAGCCCUGAACGUGUCGACGACUGAGCUUAACCGGCUGAACAGUUUAUGGCACCAUUACCUAGUAUUUGUUGUAGUGUGCCAAUGAGAGCAUUUGUCCAUUCAGCAUUGGAUUAUGUGGGACCUUUCAUUACUGUCCAAGGUCGAGGAAAACAGCCUGAAAUAAGAUAUUUAUGUCUGUUUACUUGUCUGAAAUCUCAUUUGGAAUAGAUACUGAUGCAUUUCUAAAUUCGUUUUAUCAAUUUGCUGGUUGUAGAGAUCUCCCAGGAACAGUUCUGUCGGAUAAUGAAACAAACUGUCGAUAGUGAAAAGGAACUCAGAUAAUUAAUAAACGCGCUGAAUAAUGAUCAAAUAAAAGAAAAGACAGUAAAUAAAGGAGUUCAGUUGCAUUUCAUUCCUACAUUAGCACCACAUUGGAGAGGUGUACAUGAAAUCAUGGUGAAAAGUGAUAAACAAGCCAUUCAUUCCAUGUUACAGAAUGCUUCAGUGUCAGAUGAGGAACUUAUGACUGCAUUUGUAGCAGCAGAAGCUCUUAUCAAUAUGAGACCUCUUAUUUAUCUUACUCCAAAUCAUUUCCAACAUGGACAAAUAGGAGGGGAGUUCGCACCUGAGAGCCUUGAUACAAAUGAUUUCAACCCUACAAAUGGUACGAGUUCAAGAGUUAGUCUGAAACUUUUGGGGUUGUUGGAUUCGUGAGUGGUUGCCAAACCUAUGUACCUCCAAGAAAUGGAACAGAGUUUGACCAGAUCUGAAAGUUUGAGAUGUCGUUAUCAUGGUAUAGCCUUGGCCUUUAGGUGGUGUUACAUCCAUUCAUACAAGUGGCGAUGGUCAUGUGAGAGCAGUAAACAUUUUAGUAAGUGGUAAAGAAUUCACACAGCCCAUUACAAAGUUAAGCCCGUUAGAAAUUAACAGCAGUGAUUAAUAGUUAUGUGUUGUGCAGAAAUAUUGCAUUUUAUGUGACAAAAAGUGUAAAUAUUCUUGCAUGUGGAGGGCAUAAUAA